ACGGAGGGUCCAAGCGUUAUCCGGAUUUAUUGGGUUUAAAGGGUCCGUAGGCGGGGUUUUAAGUCAGUGGUGAAAGCCUACAGCUCAACUGUAGAACUGCCAUUGAAACUGGAACUCUUGAAUGUGAUUGAGGUAGGCGGAAUAUGUCAUGUAGCGGUGAAAUGCUUAGAUAUGACAUAGAACACCGAUAGCGAAGGCAGCUUACCAAGUCAUGAUUGACGCUGAUGGACGAAAGCGUGGGGAGCGAACAGG
This 252-nucleotide ribosomal RNA is filed under the name uncultured bacterium. Its description in RNAcentral is "partial 16S ribosomal RNA". It matches the Rfam family "Bacterial small subunit ribosomal RNA", at positions 525 to 776 of the family's 1533-position model. The record is from RNAcentral.